UCAGCAUUUCUUUCUGACUGACUAUAUUUAUUACACAUUUGUACACAUAACUCACACUGCUUAGUUCAUCUCUGGCAAUAAGAAACAUAUUUCUGUGAAUUUAGGUGAAUAAAGCUGUAUUUGCCUUGUUAGUCAUCAGAAGUGUGGUUCUUUCCAUGCAUUAUCUGAAUUUCUGGGCAUUUUUUCCCUUCAUUUACUCAAAAUAUGAUUUCAACACUAAUGAAUACUGAAAGACAGCCAAGACAGGAUGAACUUUUGGACAAUUUAUGCAAACACGACAGAUGAGAAUAGAUUUACUAUAAACAUGUCAGGCACAAAAGACUUGACUGCUUUUUAAAUACAGUGAUACUGGAAGAGAUUUAUGGAUAUUUUCAACUGUUCAUUAAAGAGAAAAAAUAUUUUGAAACUAUAGGCACUCUCCUUUUAUCCAUUUUUGCCUUCCAGGCUGAGUUGCAAACCUUUGAUGUUUUCUUCACCAAAAAAUAAAAGUAGUUAUGAAUUUAUUUCUCCCAAGCACUUUCAUUUUUGUGUCAAUUUACAGUUUUUAUUACAUUCCUGGCAGUCCAAAUUAUUGUGUUUGGAGAGAAGCUAGAGUCCACAGCUUUGAGUUUUCUGAAAAUAGGGAUGAAGUUCACUUAAUGAUGCUUUCUGGCCACUGCCUUUUUCCUUUUCCUUUAGUAAUAAAAGGUUAAUAAAAUCUAUGAAUACUUUAACUGCCUGCUAGAGCAACCAACCAAUUAAAGGUUAUUCUAAUCUAAAUGACUGGAAGCCACUUGAAUUGAAAAAGUUAACAUGCAAUGGCUAGUACCUGCUGGAUCAGAUUAAUAAAAUGGAAAGUCUUAGACAUGAAAACCAUACAUAAAUGUAGUCCCUAUAGUUGACUGAGGUAUCAGUUCUUACUACUGGACAGGCAUAUGCUUAACUGCGUCUAUUCAGAAUCUGCUUCUGUGCCUUUGUAAAUCAAUAGUAAGCCUUGCUUUCAACUUCAGUGCAACUGAGGUUGCUGUCACUCAAUGAUUUUAAAAGCUGGGAUCGAGCUAACGGAAUGAUGGGAUUCUUUCUUUCUAAAAUCACGUUAAACUCGUAGAAGUAGUAAGGAAUUUGCACUUGUAUUGCUUCUGAAAAACAUUGUGUUUAGCCAAAUCUCCUGUGAAGUCAAAACACUGCACCAAAAUGAUAUCAGUAAGGAUUGUGCAGUGCGUGAAGAUCUAACUCUGCAUAUUCACAAUGCUGACUAUGCUCCUGCUUUUUGAGAAGAUGGAGAAAGAAGAGAUUUGGACGGAAAAUAACACAGUUUUUAUUGCAGCUUUAGAAGGAUAUCUGCAAUCUUUUGGCAGCAUGAUUUGAGCAUUCUGAGACCCUCCAAAAUAAGGCACAAAGCUUUAUAAAGAUUUCAUUUGGAGAGAUUACAAAAACAAAACAAAACAAACAAACAAACAAAAACGAAUAGCUGACAAUAUUUUAACAUUUUUUACUGGACUUGCCUUUCCAGCCUUUUAAAAUUAAUUGAAGAGCAACACGCAUUUAUAAAUAACAUAAUGCAGUUGGGGAUAAUGCAAAUGUCUUUAUAAAUAACACAGUAUAGCUUAAAUCAUUAUUUUUAAUGCUUCUAUUUUUUGUUCCUAUAUGAACAGGUCUGUGCUGGUCUGCAUUAAUUAAAUUUAAGUAGGAUUUCUAAGGCCAGAUCAUCAUUACUUCUGUGGCCCUGAUUUAAAUCUGCAGUAAAACAUUUCUCCAUUUAGUCUGGUGCUUUUGUGUCAUAUUUCAUACACUAGUUGUCUCUUAAUUAAAUCCAUGAUGGCCCACCAACACAGACUAUUAAAAUAACUAUACUUUGCACUUGACAUAUUUAUGAGACAGAUUCAUAAGAGUAUAGACUGCUACUUGAACUACUCACUGAGAAAUGCUAAUAAGAUUAUGAUGAAGGCUCUUUGAUGUUGUUGUACAUACCAACAGUUCUUUCUGUGUGGAUUUAUUGUGGCAAUGAAGAGUGGGAAACUGUUAAUUUAUAUCACACCAGGAAAGUGCAUAAGUAUUGUGUUCCUUGAAGUAUGAAUGUUUGCAGAUGUCUGUAAAACCUUUGCAUGGGAUUGACAUGUUCAAGGUAUUGCGUGUAAAGGAAUUAGUCUAGCUCUGAAAUUGGGUGGGGGUAAAAUACUGAUUAUCAUGAAGAACCACAUUACUUUACCUUUAUUGCCUUGCUCCUCUAACCAUCCUGUUGAUGUAGGGCAGGCUGGGUCUGCUCCUGCAGUGGAAGGAGGUAGCAGUGCUGGGCCUGGGAUCGUUUGCUGCAUGUUGUCAUGCCAGGCUGCAUGUUGCCUAUCUCCCAGGUGUAGCGCAGGAUAUUUGCAUGUUAUGGGAUAGAUAGUUUGCAUUGUGCCUUGUGACUGUCACUGCAGUGUUUGAAAUUGUGUGGAUAUAUGGCCUCAGCUAUUAAGAAAGACAGCAAAGCAAGCAAAUCCAUUAGUCCUAUGACUUGAAGGGUUGUUUGACAACGGUAUUAAGAUUUGAUUUUUUUAUUUAUUUAUUUUUUAUUUUAUUUUAUUUUAUAUUAUUUUAUUUUAUUUUUUGUGCAUGGAUACCUUGAAAUGCCAUUUCUUUUAGCAUCAUUUAUUGACAAAGUUGCUGAUAUCAUUUGAUUUUUUUUUGAAUAAUUCGAAACUGGAGUGUUCAAGGAUCUCCAUAUUUGAGAGAGAUGGCAAUAGAAGUGAUAAAGCUGCUAAGUGGAUGAUCUAAAGUCAUCAGCGAUUUCUGCCACUUUCCAGGACCAACAUACACCUCCUACAGACGUUUUCCCUGUCUCCCUUUUUUGUAGUUAUAUCCUUUCAUGGAAGGGCGCCUGUACAUCACUGGAUCCAAGUGUGGGUACAACUGUAGAUGACUCUAAAUAAAUGGAGCUUGAAGGGUCAAUAUGAAUGGCAUAUAAAUGUGUUUCUGAGCUCCCUCUCUCCUGAUGGACCCACGACACAGAUCCCUGAAUUCCUGCAGCUGUAGCUGUCCUGGAGGCUGGCUCAGGCAAAGAAGGAGUUUCUUUUCUGGAAAGGUUACACAUUCUUCUGUGCUUCAGAGAGAAGAAGAUGCAAUAAAGGCAUGACUUACAACAGCAUGGAUACAAGACCAACUGUUUUAGUCACAGUUACCUGAAAAAGGUCAUCCCAGUAAAAGAUUAUAACACUGCCACAGGGUUGUGGUCAGGAUCUGCACACCACUGAGUUACAGAGAUGAGCACAAAGGAGUGAGCUAAGGAUGCUGAGUGAAGUUCCUAUCUCUGUUUCCCAGCCUGAAGUAUUUUUUUAAAGGCUCUGUAUUUAUUUGUUAAUAAAUAUUUAGAAGUCAAUCAUUCUUCCCAUCAUUAUGUGACAUGAGAAACAUUUUUUAUUAAAAAUAAAGAGAGACGCUGUGGGGUUUGACACAUUAUUUUUUCUCCUUAUGCUCAGGGAAACUCUUCAGCCUCAGAGAAAAGGUCCUUGACCCUGGUCUCAAAUACUGUCCAGUGCUUAUGGGAUGUGAUAUGAAAAUCAUCAAAACUGUCCUUGGCAGGAUGUUUCGUUCCAUUAGUUGAUUAAAAUGGUUUAUUGUUGCCUGCAGCACCAUUGCUUUAUAUGUAUGUUUUUACAAAGACCAGAUGUGCCCAUGUCCUGCACUGUUUCCCUUUGUGUGUUUUUUUGAUAAAUACAGCGGUGAAGUCACCGCCUGGCAGAUCCCUCAGUGAAGUUUCAGAGAGGGAAAGCAGGAAAGGUGAGGGGCUACUGGUGGGGCCAGGGCACUUGCAGCAUGAGGAGCAGCACUGGGGCUGCGCAACAGCACAGAGAUGGCUCCACAGAAAGUGGGAGGAAGAACAAGGAAACCUGCAAGCAGUAAGUGCCCAGAGGAAAAAAUAAAUAAUAAUAAUAAAAAAUAAAAAUCUGGAACUAUCUGCCUGCCAAUGCUGUAUAAACUAGGCUCUGACAAUAGCAAGAAGUGGGCUUCAACAUUUUUUCAGGUUGACAACUCUAACGUUUCAGCUGGAAUAUAGAAGUGAGGAGUAGCUGAUCCUAAAAUACUAGACCAAAUUACAUCAGAGUGAAAUCUUACCUCUCCUUCUGCUAUUACAGAGAAAACUGGAAAAGUCCACGUCUUCAAGAUGAAUCUGAUAUUUGUUUUCUUGUUCCAUCAAUGCUUGAUGUGGGAGUUGGAAUCUCAGUACAAAUGAUAUUUACAAGUCUAGGGGUCAUUUCAAGUACCUCUCCAUCUCCCUAGCACAGUUUUUUAUUAUUAUUAUUAUUAUUUAUUUAUUUUUAAGGCAUGUUGACAUGUAAUGAUAACAGGGUCUUUCAUUACAAAAUCAUAAAUUAUUGAGCCUCUAAUCUUAUGUUCAAUACAUAUUUAUUUGAUAAUCAUAGGUUAAUUAAUUUCUGUUGUUUCUAUACAUGUUUAUACUAUACAAUUAGAGAAAAACACAGAUUCACGAGUAAAUGUUGCUCAUACAAAAUGUUUCUAUUACCCUUUACUUUUAAAACCAUUAAUAGAUUAUUAGGAGUUAUAAACAUAGGAGACCAUGGAUCAUAUUUGCAUGUUAAUGAAAUCAAUGAAUUAUACAUUAUUUGUUAUAGAGAGUACUAGAAACAGUAUUCCUCCUUUUUAAUAGCUAUAAAAGCUGACGGUUUUCUGGAGCACACAUCACAUCCCCUCCGCAAUACCUUCUAAUAGAAAGAAAGCAAGCCAGCUCUUCAAAGCAAUCUCUCACUAAAUGAAAUAGAUUUGUUUGUGUUGCUUUGCAACACACAAGUGUGACAGUUCAUUUUAAACAAAAUAGUUUUAAUAAUGUCAUUACUAAUAUCUAUUUGGUCAUCUCUCUGAAAAAUGGCGUUUUAAUAGGAAUGUUUCAUUUUAAUAAAUGGCAGAAGAGGCAAGCUUCCCUGAGUCAGCAGGAAGUGGAUAUACACCAGAGAACAGCCUGAUUGUGUUAGAUUCAUCCAGAACAUUGAACAGCACACAGACAGUCCAAGAAAAAGCAACUGGCUUUAUUCAAAUGAUUAGUCUUACUGCUACACUGUAGCGCAGAUUCACACAUUCUUCUAUUAUUCCUUGACCUUGUGCCAAAAACUCCCACUUGAAGUAAUAAUUAGAAUUAGUGUUUCCAGUGCAUGCUUCCAUCUUCCUAACAAACAGUAAUGAAAUGUGGCUUUUACAAAAUAUGCAGUUAAUUAAACUUUUUUAAAACAUUGGUUGAUUAAUACAGUUCCUCUGUGCUAUCCCCUCGUUAUGCCCAACUAUUUCUACCUGCUAUUGGUGAAUAGGAAGCAAAGCACUGUCAAUAAGAUGAAUGAUAUUUCAGAAAUCCGCAUGUUAAAAUUGCUUCUAUAUUAUUAUUAUUAGUUUUCUUUCUCAUUUUAUCUCUGUCUUGGAAUGAACUGGAAAGAUAGCCAUUAUUUGUAAUCAUAGGUUUUUAAGUCUAGGACAGUAUGUGUAUGAUAUCACUACUCUACAAAUACCCUCAGCAUGAAUAUGAAGACCACAUAUAUCAAGUGCUACAAGGUAAUAAGAGGAUUUCUAGGCGAGAUGUUUAAAAAGGUGGCUCAGCACUGUAUUGCUUAAUAACUCUAUGCAAAUAGAAAUUUUGAUUUCAUUUUUUUUAAUAUUAUUUCAUGCUUUUUUACUGUCUGCCUUAAUUAUCCCAAUGCUGAACAAGUAUAGUCUUUUGAUUGAUGAGAGUUCCACCCCUUUACCCACACCCCUGCAGAUACGAGGCUCCACAGUUUAGUACCAUAAAUCACUGUGAUUGUAUAACUUAACUACUGUAUGAUCAGAGAUCACAUACAGUGUUAGCCUGAAUACGCAUUCAUCCUUUGUUAUGAAUGUUUUAGGACUAAAUUUAUUCUGGCAGUUUGGAGAAAUAUAAGUUUCUUCAUGUAAGAAAGCAAUGCAUUUUAAAUAAGCAAUUCUUUCAACAACUGGAAAUCAUCACAAAAGUCUUCUAUUUGCAAUCUUCAUUAAUGUGAGUUAUUUCAUCACUUUAGAGAAAACCUUUCAGAGAAAAACAACAAUUAAACCCCUCCCCCAGACAGGCUUGACAGAUAAGAAUCUAUGGAUCAGCCAUUUUAGUAAUU
Oxyura jamaicensis (ruddy duck) is the source of this 6089-nucleotide long non-coding RNA. RefSeq lists it as uncharacterized. The record is from RefSeq and is a predicted model, not a curated record. The transcript is spliced from 3 exons. NCBI's taxonomy places the organism in Eukaryota, Metazoa, Chordata, Aves, Anseriformes, Anatidae.